AAGUCGUAACAAGGUUUCCGUAGGUGAACCUGCGGAAGGAUCAUUAAUAAAUGCUUCAUUGCAUCCACCUUUUGUGCACUGUAAAUAUUUCACUUGAAUUUUGUCUGAUUAAUCUUUGUUCUGAAAGGAACAUGAAUUAUAAUCUAAUACAACUUUUAACAAUGGAUCUCUUGGCUCUC
Molecule: unclassified non-coding RNA, 179 nt
Filed under: fungal sp.
Lineage: Eukaryota; Fungi
Also listed under: 1 other name
Description: partial internal transcribed spacer region
Rfam family: Eukaryotic small subunit ribosomal RNA (bases 1-46)
Source: RNAcentral